This 492-nucleotide ribosomal RNA is filed under the name uncultured bacterium. RNAcentral describes it as "partial 16S ribosomal RNA". It matches the Rfam family "Bacterial small subunit ribosomal RNA", at positions 29 to 507 of the family's 1533-position model. The record is from RNAcentral.
AGUGAACGCUGGCGGUAGGCCUAACACAUGCAAGUCGAACGGCAGCACAGUAAGAGCUUGCUCUUACGGGUGGCGAGUGGCGGACGGGUGAGGAAUACAUCGGAAUCUACUUUUUCGUGGGGGAUAACGUAGGGAAACUUACGCUAAUACCGCAUACGACCUACGGGUGAAAGCAGGGGAUCUCCGGACCUUGCGCGAUUGAAUGAGCCGAUGUCGGAUUAGCUAGUUGGCGGGGUAAAGGCCCACCAAGGCGACGAUCCGUAGCUGGUCUGAGAGGAUGAUCAGCCACACUGGAACUGAGACACGGUCCAGACUCCUACGGGAGGCAGCAGUGGGGAAUAUUGGACAAAGGGCGCAAGCCUGAUCCAGCCAUACCGCGUGGGUGAAGAAGGCCUUCGGGUUGUAAAGCCCUUUUGUUGGGAAAGAAAAGCAGCAGGUUAAUACCCCGCUGUUCUGACGGUACCCAAAGAAUAAGCACCGGCUAACUUCGUG